UGUUUCUGACAGGGCUCGAACCUGGGACCUUCCGCGUGUUAGGCGGAUGUGAUAACCACUACACCACAAAAAC
This 73-nucleotide transfer RNA is filed under the name Cordylochernes scorpioides. RNAcentral's name for it is "tRNA-Val". Lineage: Eukaryota; Metazoa; Arthropoda; Arachnida; Pseudoscorpiones; Chernetidae. The record is from RNAcentral.